CGUGCUUAACACAUGCAAGUCGAGCGAAGCGAUUUCAAUAAAGUUUUCGGAUGGAAUUUAAAUUGACUUAGCGGCGGACGGGUGAGUAACGCGUGGGUAACCUGCCUCAUACAGGGGGAUAACAGUUGGAAACGGCUGCUAAUACCGCAUAAGCACACAGUGCCGCAUGGUACGGUGUGAAAAACUCCGGUGGUAUGAGAUGGACCCGCGUCUGAUUAGGUAGUUGGUGAGGUAACAGGCCCACCAAGCCGACGAUCAGUAGCCGACCUGAGAGGGUGACCGGCCACAUUGGGACUGAGACACGGCCCAAACUCCUACGGGAGGCAGCAGUGGGGAAUAUUGGACAAUGGGGGAAACCCUGAUCCAGCGACGCCGCGUGAGUGAAGAAGUAUUUCGGUAUGUAAAGCUCUAUCAGCAGGGAAGAAAAUG
This 429-nucleotide ribosomal RNA is filed under the name Clostridium sp. P8B PV-2008. Its description in RNAcentral is "bacterial SSU rRNA". It matches the Rfam family "Bacterial small subunit ribosomal RNA", at positions 43 to 453 of the family's 1533-position model. The record is from RNAcentral. Lineage: Bacteria; Bacillati; Bacillota; Clostridia; Eubacteriales; Clostridiaceae.